RNAcentral lists this ribosomal RNA (250 nucleotides) under uncultured bacterium. RNAcentral describes it as "partial 16S ribosomal RNA". It matches the Rfam family "Bacterial small subunit ribosomal RNA", at positions 57 to 305 of the family's 1533-position model. The record is from RNAcentral.
GCAAGUCGAACGGUAACAUGGGAGCUUGCUCCUGAUGACGAGUGGCGGACGGGUGAGUAACGCGUGGGAACAUGCCUAUUAGUUGGGGACAACCUGUGGAAACGCAGGCUAAUACCGAAUAAGUUCUAUGGAAUAAAGGUGGCCUCUACUUGUAUGCUAUCGCUAAUAGAUUGGCCCACGUUGGAUUAGCUAGUUGGUGAGGUAAAAGCUCACCAAGGCGACGAUCCAUAGCUGGUUUGAGAGGAUGAUC